RNAcentral lists this transfer RNA (73 nucleotides) under Nicotiana sylvestris (wood tobacco). It matches the Rfam family "tRNA". From Rfam's summary of the family: Transfer RNA (tRNA) molecules are approximately 80 nucleotides in length. Their secondary structure includes four short double-helical elements and three loops (D, anti-codon, and T loops). Lineage: Eukaryota; Viridiplantae; Streptophyta; Magnoliopsida; Solanales; Solanaceae. The record is from Rfam by way of RNAcentral. RNAcentral also lists the same sequence under 1 other name.
GUUCUUGUAGCUCAGUUGGUUAGAGCGUCCACUUAAUAAGCGGAGGUUUAGAGUUUCAUUCUCAAUGAUAGCA